Molecule: long non-coding RNA, 5103 nt
Organism: Oreochromis niloticus (Nile tilapia)
Lineage: Eukaryota; Metazoa; Chordata; Actinopteri; Cichliformes; Cichlidae
Exons: 2
Source: RefSeq, a predicted model, not a curated record
CAUGGUCACAUGGUAUCGGAUUUGUCUGUUUUUGGUGUUUUGUUUACUAAACUAAGAUUACUAAAACUAAGCAGCUUAUAACUUAGUUCAGAAACCUUAAAGAAUUGAUUCCUUAAUUUUUUGAACAUGGAAAGAAACUUUGCAUUCAUCUUUCAUAAAAUUCUGUCCCUGAAGGACCUUCAUAUUUAUUAGUUAGCAGGAUAGGAUACCCGGUGAAUCCUCAUCUGUUGGAUGGUAGCAUAUAUCCAUCCCUGUAUUGCCAUCUACUUAAAGUCAAAGUGUGAAGUGUAGCAGUCUCACAAAAGAAGAAAAAAUCACUGGGGUCUAAUCCUUACUUCAUAUUAUCUCAUUCAAAACAAAGGAUUGAGACGAAAACAGUGAAUCUGCAAUUAUUGAUAUAAAGAUGUGCCGUGAAUCAAUCUGGAAAGUUAUCAGUGUUUGUUAUCGAUAUCUCUGACCCAGAGAGGGAACAUGGGCUCGGGACUAGAUUGGUCAUGACAGGAAUAUUAAAAUAGUCAUUGAAUUAGUCUUAAAAUGCAUAUUUAUCCUUGAUCUCACCAGCAGCAGUUAGUGUGGAAUGCACUGGCAAUGCAAAGUCAGUAAGGCCCUUUAAUACAAAGGGGGGGGGGGGUGUCAUAUGUGGUGCACUGAUAUUAGUUUCCUGCACAAACAGAAUGGUGUGGUAUCUGUUGAGGUGAACAGCUAGUUGUGUUUGUUGAUGGAGGUGAGUGUGUCAAAGUAACAUGAAAGGCCAAAUGCAGAGCUUCCUGUCGCAUUUAGAAGUGUAGUUUUAUUUUUUCAUCUCUCUGAGGCAGCAGCACGACUGUUGGACAGUCUCCUCACUUUUAUUUUGAUAGUUUGGUUCCUGAUGACCACCUCUGGUCCCUAACAUUUACAAACACACUGCGGUAUUCAGACUCGUGUAGCCGUCUCUAAUCUCUCGGUUGGACAGACUCUAUCAUCUGGAGCUGCAGAGCAGUAAAGUCACUUUUAUCAGCAGCUCCGGUCCAAGAUGUUGGAGGUGGUGUCCGAAAACAGGAUCAGGAAGUUACCGAUCUGAGGAAGCUGAUUGUUGCUUUGUUAUUUAUUGUUACAAAGGAUUUAUGCUAUUAUCUAAAAAUGUAUUUAAAAAUUUUGGGUGCACAUGCUACUGCUUCAUAUACAGCGAACAUGUUUCAUUGGGACAAGUCGCUUCUUUAGUGGUUUGAAUUUUGCGGACGAUCAAUGGAUACAAUAUUUCAUAAGUGUCAGAAACAUUUGUUGCAGUCGUGUUGGACGUAUGAUCUUUGUCAUUGUUAGGGUUACUACUCUGACUUAUGAUGCCCGAGUGUGCAUCACGAAAAACCUCGAUCUGACCUCGUGCUACACGUGGUCACUGUAAGAGAAAUGCAACAUGCAUAACUGUACGCGAGUACUUUGCAGUAUGAAUUUGCUGCUCAGCUUAUUAACAUUUUGUCUCAACCAGAGACGAGUGUUGGAAUAAUGAGUGAUGAGUGUUGCUGUUGGAUUAAGUAAGCCCUAGAUUAACUAAGCUACUGUAUACGCUGCAAAGCCCUAAUGUGGAAAAAAAGUCUCUGUUCUGGUAAUAAAAUCUUUCAAAGCCUGUAGCUUAUCACUGCAAAAUAAGCAUCUUGCAACUGGAUUACAACUCUCAUGCUUGCAAGUGUUUUCACACUACAGUCCAGAUGGGAGAUUCAUUCUGUAACCUAAAUGGAUUCUUCUUUUCGUGCAUCUUCUUUUUUUUGGUUUCUGAUAUUGUAAAUGUGACAAACUAUACAAUCAAUUAAUACACCAAGCCAAUACAAACAUUUGGAAAGCAGCUAAUUCUCCAUCAGCUGUGUUUAUUUCCAGCAAUCUCCCAAAAACGCCGAUGGAAAAACAUUUCAAACUUGUUCUGACAAACCCAAGUUUUUCUUUAGCUUAUAAAUCAUUGAUGGUUUACAAGUUAUUUGUUUAAUUAGUGCAAGAAAGUCUGGAAUACAUCCUCAGGUUUGCUUCAUUCCAGCCAACAGAGGGACCCACAAAGUUGUCAAGGUGUAAGUCCGCCCUUGUUGCGCGUGUCCUAAAACGCUGCAGAUUCAGUGCCUAAUGCGUAGGAAAGUAUUCGGCAGUGAACGGAAAAUAAUAUUUUCCGCUUCUUUAGUGAAAUGAAAGCCGGGUCCGCAGCUGUGCCGGCUUACCAAAAGCGUUUCCUGCACAAACAUUUCAAACGCUUCAGAUUCCAGGUUCAUCUGUGUCCAUGUCAAUAGCAGACACAGUUCACUCUAAAUAAGUUCACGAGGACCCGAGUGAUUGUGUGCAGAUGUUGCUUUUAAUAGAAAGUUGACUCUGGAAACAGUUGCAGUCUACACACACACACACGCACGCACACACACACACGUGCACACACACACACACACACACACACACGUUAUGAAAGCAGGUUCGCUAAAGCCAAAGCUUUCUGAGGUUAUGUGACAUUUCUUGAAGAGUUUACACAACCUUACAGACUUUGUUGACUCAAGUCAUCCCCUCUCCAAGUUGAUAUCAGUAGUCAAUGCAUAUACACAUGCAAACAUACAGUAUACAAAUGCAGUAAAUGAAAACACUGAAAUAAUAAAAAAGUAGACAGGGACACCUUAAAUAUUGCAGUUUCAUAUAACCGAAAGGCACAGAGAUUUAAAACGCGAGUGCUGUGAAGUUUGAACCUCACGCAGACAUGUGGCAGCCAAUCUGUGGUUCGAAUUUGUUGUGAAAAUGCACGACUCGAGUACAAAAAGAAGGAAAAGUACUCCUCCUUAAAUUCCCCGUUAGUUUACUGAAGCUUUGCUGGUUAUCAUUUGCAGGCUCGUUUAAUAGCAAGAAAAAAAAUAUCGCAGAGUUUAGUCGCCACUAACAGUUUGCAGAAUCUCACAACCUCGUGCAGCAGAGAUCUUCAAAGAGUUGUGGGGGACUCGAGCUGCUCAGGGUGUGAACGCUGCGAGAGAUGAGAGUCAAAAUCACACAUACAAACACACGCACACCAAUUCACUUCUGGAGCUGUGCCUCAAGUAACGAGCCGACAGUCCAAGUGACAAACAUGUUGUCUGAGGACUGGACGAAUGUGGACCUCUGCGGCUCCUCUCCGCACGCCGCGAGGGCCUCCUAACGCGGCUGCGGCGUAGGUGGCCACAGCUCCGAUCAGAUUAUUAUUCCUUCCACUUUGGAAGUUUUUUUUUUCUCGUGCUGAGAGUCUUGCAGAACAAAACUUCUUCAUUUGGAUUUGAUGACCCUCUCUGACCCACUCCCCCCUCCUCUCGUCUCCGCACCUCUCCACCUCCCCGUCUGACUCAUCCGACCGUCCAUCCGCGGUCACGCUGCCGUCCGUCUGAUGAGCCUUCACCGACGUUCCAUGCUGACAUAUUCAGACUAUUGUUCUGCCGCUGCGGGUGGCACAGGUGGGCCUCCGUCUCUCCAACAUGGCCCAGUUACAAUGCAGCGCUCCCUGCCAAGUCAGGCCCCGUUCAUCCGGGAACAGGGGAACUGGAAUGGGUUUGACCGUAUUGUGCUGCACCUGCUUCGCCCUCGCACCAUAUCCCCCUGCUUCGCCUGCCAUUCUGCCACUGCAGAGAACGCUUCUUCCCUCGCAAGCCCCCGCGACGUAAAACCCGUAAAAUCCACUGAACUUAGCCGCUCUGAUGGCCGCGGCCAAAACAGCAUCUGAUGUGCCUUAUUUGUUGACUGUGUGAGAUUAGUUGCAGAGGGUACACGUCGAGGGGCUUAUCAUGCAGAGAUGGAGCAAAGCCCCCACCCCUCCACCAAACACCCACCAGCCUUGCCAAAUAAUGAGAAAUGGAAGAAUCUCCAGCUUGUCUAAAGCCCUUGUCACAGUCGGUCCGUGCACACUUCUGCUCCCGAGCCAGACUGUAGAGCAGAUACUGUAAGAGCUGCGGGACCAGAGGAGCUGGCUGCUGAGCUCCACAUUCAGCAGGCAGCUCGGGAGCCAAAGUCCUGGUCAUUUUUGUCCGCCGUGCCUCAAUAGGAAGCAUCCACCUGGAUGGCGUUAGGCCUGCAUGUGAAAGAAUGUGCUUUUGUUUUCACAGAAGGAGAAAGAAGCAGCUGUAGCACUCGAACAUGUGCACGUGUCACCGUGUCGGUGCAAAUGCAGCGCAGGAAAUGAAUCAGGGCCUUUCAGAUGAAAUCUUCAAAGCGUUUCAGCUGCCUCUGUGUUGAAAAGCAGAAAUAAAAUGUUCAUCUGCUCUUUGCUGCUGUGAGUCAAUGAGCUGCUCUUCCUGCAGAGCAAUGCAGCCGUGCAGAAAUCCUGAUUUUAUAAACCCUGCGAGAUGUCGUAGCUGCAGUAUCUGUUCAUGAGUUUUGCAGGACUUGCAUAAAAAGCAGCUGUUUUUUCUUCUUCUUUAAGCUCAUAAAUCCCAUAAAGGUUUGAUUUAGGGGUUAUUUUCCAGAAAAAAUCAAAUGUAUAGAACUCAAUCGAUCAUAUUAACGAUGGAAUUACAGAAACAUUUCACUCAGGCAGCCCAGGAGCGGCCUCGACCUCAGAAAGUUAAGGGUCCAAACUUGUACUGCUGUUAUUGUUAAAUGUGUGAAUUGACCAUUUGCAAAACCUAAACGCCAAAAACUCCACUUUAGCCAGAAGAUUCAAAAAUGUUUACAUGUGCUGGAUUUUCCAGUUUAUUCUCCUUUUGUGCAGUUGGUCUGUGGCCUGUGACCUCUUGGCCUGUGUUUGAACCAGAUCUCUCGCCUCCCAGAGGGCGCGAGCUUUGCGUAAUAAAGAAUCAGUCAAAUUACAGAAAAACCCAGUAAAAAAUGUUGGGGGGGGGCAGCUGCUUUAAACCUCCCCAAAUCACUGUUGGUUUAUGAAGAGUGUGGAAACAGUCUGUGUUGUUUAUCUGCUGGUGAGACGUGUUGUCACUUCUCCUAAUAAUUUAAAAUGAGUCAAAGACAAAUUCCACAGCCAGCAUCAGUGAAUGAAGUAUAGCUGAGCACCUGAAUGAUGCUGGAGUCAGGCUAAAGGAAACUGAGAGAGAGAGAGAGAGAGAGAGAGGAGGCUCAUGCAGGCAGAGAUGUGAGGAUGGAGGCUGACGGGCUGCUGGGGAUUCGCUGUGCGAGAGCUCCCUCUUGGUGCCA